GACGGAGGGGGCGCUGAGAAAGCGGGAAGGGGUACGGAAAAUGAGGAGUGCGCAGACUCAGAAGGGACCUGUCCCUUUUUUUUCACCACUCCGCCUCCCUCCCCCGGCAAGGUGUGUCAUUAGUUGGGUUUGGAAUGAAGAGUAAAAGGAUAAAGAAAAUUGAGAGCCAGGAAUUCUGAGUGCUUAAAAAAAAAAAUUAUUGGUAAUGACUCUCUUCGCGAAUGACAAAAAGAAACUAAUAGAAAUAUGGGAAGUCUUCUAUGAAUUUAGGUCAAGAAAAAAUAAUCAAGAAAAAAAUGUAUUUUUCAAGGAGCUUGUGGACAAGAAAAAACUCAUAUAUACAAGAAUGUUCAAAGGAGCAUAACUAGUGAUAACAAAUAACUGAAAACAAAAUAUGUGCCAAACAAUUGGGGAAUAGUUGAACAAACUAUAAUAUAUUAACAUAUUUCAAAACUAUUGUGCUGGAAAGGAAUGAUGACAUGAAGAGUUCAGAGAAACAUGGAAUAACUUUUAUGAAAUGGCAACAGAUUGAAGAAAGUAGAACUAAAAGUAUAAUCUACACAAAGACUACAAUGAUGCAAAUAAAUUCAUUAUUGAGAG
RNAcentral lists this long non-coding RNA (600 nucleotides) under Monodelphis domestica (gray short-tailed opossum). RNAcentral describes it as "lncRNA (ENSMODG00000047706.1)". Lineage: Eukaryota; Metazoa; Chordata; Mammalia; Didelphimorphia; Didelphidae. The record is from RNAcentral.